Molecule: ribosomal RNA, 441 nt
Filed under: uncultured bacterium
Lineage: Bacteria
Description: partial 16S ribosomal RNA
Rfam family: Bacterial small subunit ribosomal RNA
Source: RNAcentral
CCUACGGGAGGCAGCAGUGGGGAAUAUUGCACAAUGGGGGAAACCCUGAUGCAGCAACGCCGCGUGGGUGAAGGAGCGUUUCGGCGCGUAAAGCCCUGUCUGUGGGGAAGAAGAAAGUCGGUACCCGACCAAGAAGCCUCGGCUAACUACGUGCCAGAAGCCGCGGUAAUACGUCGGGGGCGCGCGUUAUCCAGAAUUACUGGGUGUAAAGGGAGCGUAGACGGCGAGGUAAGCCUGAAGUGGAAGCCCGCGGCCCAACCGCGGAACUGUAUUGGGUACUGUUUUGCUGGAGUAUGGGAGGGGGAAGCGGAAUUCCAGGUGUAGCGGUGAAAUGCGUAGAUAUCAGGAGGAACAACGGUGGCGAAGGCGGCUUACUGGACCAUAACUGACGUUGAGGCUCGAAAGCGUGGGGAGCGAACAGGAUUAGAUACCCCUGUAGUC